Molecule: ribosomal RNA, 350 nt
Filed under: uncultured bacterium
Lineage: Bacteria
Description: bacterial SSU rRNA
Rfam family: Bacterial small subunit ribosomal RNA
Source: RNAcentral
CAGUUAACACCUGCAUUAUUUGACGUUACCUACAGAAGAAGCACCCGGCUAACUCCGUGCCAGCAGCCGCGGUAAUACGGAGGGGUGCGAGCGUUAAUCGGAAUUACUGGGCGUAAAGCGCAUGCAGGCGGCCUGUUAAGUCAGAUGUGAAAGCCCGGGGCGUUAACCUCGGAAUUGCAUUUGAAACUGGCAGGCUAGAGUCUUGUAGAGGGGGGUAGGAAUUUCAGGUGUAGCGGUGAAAUGCGUAGAGAUCUGAAGGAAUACCAGUGGCGAAGGCGGCCCCCCUGGACAAAGACUGACGCUCAGAUGCGAAAGCGUGGGGAGCAAACAGGAUUAGAUACCCCUGGUAG